This 479-nucleotide ribosomal RNA is filed under the name uncultured bacterium. RNAcentral's name for it is "bacterial SSU rRNA". It matches the Rfam family "Bacterial small subunit ribosomal RNA", at positions 19 to 487 of the family's 1533-position model. The record is from RNAcentral.
CUGGCUCAGGAUGAACGCUAGCUACAGGCUUAACACAUGCAAGUCGAGGGGCAGCAUUUCAGUUUGCUUGCAAACUGGAGAUGGCGACCGGCGCACGGGUGAGUAACACGUAUCCAACCUGCCGAUAACUCGGGGAUAGCCUUUCGAAAGAAAGAUUAAUACCCGAUGGUAUAAUCAGACCGCAUGGUCUUGUUAUUAAAGAAUUUCGGUUAUCGAUGGGGAUGCGUUCCAUUAGGCAGUUGGUGAGGUAACGGCUCACCAAACCUUCGAUGGAUAGGGGUUCUGAGAGGAAGGUCCCCCACAUUGGAACUGAGACACGGUCCAAACUCCUACGGGAGGCAGCAGUGAGGAAUAUUGGUCAAUGGGCGAGAGCCUGAACCAGUCCAAGUAGUGUGAAGGAUGACUGCCAUAUGGGUUGUAAACUUCUUUUAUAAAGGAAUAAAGUCGGGUAUGGAUACCCGUCUGCAUGCUACGACAGG